RNAcentral lists this ribosomal RNA (481 nucleotides) under Flavobacterium sp. CL1.7. RNAcentral describes it as "bacterial SSU rRNA". It matches the Rfam family "Bacterial small subunit ribosomal RNA", at positions 17 to 500 of the family's 1533-position model. The record is from RNAcentral. Lineage: Bacteria; Pseudomonadati; Bacteroidota; Flavobacteriia; Flavobacteriales; Flavobacteriaceae.
CCCUGGCUCAGGAUGAACGCUAGCGGCAGGCUUAACACAUGCAAGUCGAGGGGUAUAGUUCUUCGGAAUUAGAGACCGGCGCACGGGUGCGUAACGCGUAUGCAAUCUACCUUUUGCAGAGGGAUAGCCCAGAGAAAUUUGGAUUAAUACCUCAUAGUAUAGCAGUUUCGCAUGAAACCACUAUUAAAGUCACAACGGCAAAAGAUGAGCAUGCGUCCCAUUAGCUAGUUGGUAAGGUAACGGCUUACCAAGGCUACGAUGGUAGGGGUCCUGAGAGGGAGAUCCCCCACACUGGUACUGAGACACGGACCAGACUCCUACGGGAGGCAGCAGUGAGGAAUAUUGGACAAUGGGCGCAAGCCUGAUCCAGCCAUGCCGCGUGCAGGAUGACGGUCCUAUGGAUUGUAAACUGCUUUUGUACAGGAAGAAACACUCCCUCGUGAGGGAGUUUGACGGUACUGUAAGAAUAAGGAUCGGCUAA